This 368-nucleotide ribosomal RNA is filed under the name uncultured organism. Its description in RNAcentral is "partial 16S ribosomal RNA". It matches the Rfam family "Bacterial small subunit ribosomal RNA", at positions 527 to 896 of the family's 1533-position model. The record is from RNAcentral.
GGAGGGUGCGAGCGUUAAUCGGAAUAACUGGGCGUAAAGAGCACGUAGGUGGGAUAGCAAGUCAGAUGUGAAAGCCCUGGGCUUAACCGAGGAAAGCCAUCUGAAACUAAUAACCUAGAGUACAGGAGAGGGAAGUGGAAUUUCCGGUGUAGCGGUGAAAUGCGUAGAUAUCGGAAGGAACACCCGAGGCGAAGGCGACUUUCUGGCCUGAAACUGACACUGAGGUGCGAAAGCGUGGGGAGCAAACAGGGAUUAGAUACCCUGGUAGUCCACGCGGUAAACGAUGAGAACUAGCUGAUGGGUCUACGGACUCAGUAGCGAAGCAAACGCGAUAAGUUCUCCGCCUGGGGAGUACGGCCGCAAGGCUA